CUCAAUGGCUCUUUGUUUAUUUGGUUUUCUUUUAUUUGUUUUCUUGGAUCAAAUUUCUAGGUUUCUGUUGUGGAUAUCAAAGUGGCAGUUUCUCCAAAAUAUAAAAAGAAUAACAGUUUUUCGAUUGAAGUUGCAUAAAAUGAGGUUUGUGUUUGGGAUGACACAGCCUGAUUGUAUGACUUGAAUCUCCUUACCAUUAGUUUUAAAUGCAAGCAGACGGAAAUAUUAUUUGUAGGACAACAGAAAGUUUGGGGGUCUGAUUUAUGUAUCAAUUUUCUCUCAUAUCUUCUGUAAUAACUGAUAGUAUGUCUCAAUUUGAACUUGAUUUUCUUGAACUUUAUAUAGGUCAAUUGGAAAACAAUGUUCAAUUAUCUUCUUUUGAUAUAUUAGGUGUCGGAUGAGAUAUUCUCUGUUAACCUGUACUCCUGUUUUUUGGUGAAUUUGCAGUGCUCACCUGACUAUGCUUGUAGGUCAAUUGGAAAACAAUGUUCAAUUAUCUUCUUUUAGUUUAUUAGGCAUCAGACGAGAUAUUCUAUCUGUUAACUUGUACUUCUGUUUUUUGGUGAAUUUGCAGUGCUCACCUGACUAUGCUUAUGGCCGAAAUGGAUUUCCUGACUGGGGAAUACAACCAGAAUCUGAAUUGAUCUUCGAGAUUGAAGUUCUGAGUUUACAGUAGUGAG
This 680-nucleotide long non-coding RNA is filed under the name Amborella trichopoda. RNAcentral's name for it is "long non-coding RNA (ATRI_LNC002183)". The record is from RNAcentral. Lineage: Eukaryota; Viridiplantae; Streptophyta; Magnoliopsida; Amborellales; Amborellaceae.